This 735-nucleotide ribosomal RNA is filed under the name uncultured Arcobacter sp. Its description in RNAcentral is "bacterial SSU rRNA". It matches the Rfam family "Bacterial small subunit ribosomal RNA", at positions 28 to 776 of the family's 1533-position model. Lineage: Bacteria; Pseudomonadati; Campylobacterota; Epsilonproteobacteria; Campylobacterales; Arcobacteraceae. The record is from RNAcentral.
AGUGAACGCUGGCGGCGUGCUUAACACAUGCAAGUCGAACGAGACCGGGAUUAGCUUGCUAAUCUGUCAGCUAAGUGGCGCACGGGUGAGUAAUAUAUAGGUAACGUGCCUUCAAGAGGGGGAUAACAGAUGGAAACGUCUGCUAAAACCCCAUAUGCCUUUAAUGCGAAAGUAUGCAAGGGAAAUAUUUAUAGCUUGAAGAUCGGCCUGUACAGUAUCAGAUAGUUGGUGAGGUAAUAGCUCACCAAGUCAAUGACGCUUAACUGGUUUGAGAGGAUGAUCAGUCACACUGGAACUGAGACACGGUCCAGACUCCUACGGGAGGCAGCAGUGGGGAAUAUUGCACAAUGGGGGAAACCCUGAUGCAGCAACGCCGCGUGGAGGAUGACACAUUUCGGUGCGUAAACUCCUUUUAUAUAAGAAGAUAAUGACGGUAUUAUAUGAAUAAGCACCGGCUAACUCCGUGCCAGCAGCCGCGGUAAUACGGAGGGUGCAAGCGUUACUCGGAAUCACUGGGCGUAAAGAGCGUGUAGGCGGAUAGAUAAGUCAGAAGUGAAAUCCAAUAGCUUAACUAUUGAACUGCUUUUGAAACUGUCUAUCUAGAGUAUGGGAGAGGUAGAUGGAAUUUCUGGUGUAGGGGUAAAAUCCGUAGAGAUCAGAAGGAAUACCGAUUGCGAAGGCGAUCUACUGGAACAUAACUGACGCUGAGACGCGAAAGCGUGGGGAGCAAACAGG